This 247-nucleotide ribosomal RNA is filed under the name uncultured bacterium. Its description in RNAcentral is "partial small subunit ribosomal RNA". It matches the Rfam family "Bacterial small subunit ribosomal RNA", at positions 26 to 285 of the family's 1533-position model. The record is from RNAcentral.
AGAAUCAACGCUGGCGGCGUGCCUAACACAUGCAAGUCGAACGAGAAAGUGGUAGCAAUACCAUGAGUAAAGUGGCGCACGGGUGAGUAACACGUGACUAACCUACCCUUGAGUGGGGGAUAACUGAGGGAAACCUUAGCUAAUACCGCAUAAUACCCACAGGUCAAAGGAGCAAUUCGCUCGAGGAGGGGGUCGCGGCCGAUUAGUUAGUUGGCAGGGUAAUGGCCUACCAAGACGAUGAUCGGUA